This 503-nucleotide ribosomal RNA is filed under the name uncultured bacterium. RNAcentral's name for it is "partial 16S ribosomal RNA". It matches the Rfam family "Bacterial small subunit ribosomal RNA", at positions 30 to 523 of the family's 1533-position model. The record is from RNAcentral.
AUUGAACGCUGGCGGCAGGCUUAACACAUGCAAGUCGAGCGGGGUGAUGGUGCUUGCACUAUCACUUAGCGGCGGACGGGUGAGUAAUGCUUAGGAAUCUGCCUAUUAGUGGGGGACAACAUCUCGAAAGGGAUGCUAAUACCGCAUACGUCCUACGGGAGAAAGCAGGGGAUCACUUGUGACCUUGCGCUAAUAGAUGAGCCUAAGUCGGAUUAGCUAGUUGGUGGGGUAAAGGCCUACCAAGGCGACGAUCUGUAGCGGGUCUGAGAGGAGGAUCCGCCACACUGGGACUGAGGCACGGCCCAGACGCCUACGGGAGGCAGCAGUGGGGAAUAUUGGACAAUGGGGGGAACCCUGAUCCAGCCAUGCCGCGUGUGUGAGGAAGGCCUUAUGGUUGUAAAGCACUUUAAGCGAGGAGGAGGCUCUUUUGGUUAAUACCCAAGAUGAGUGGACGUUACUCGCAGAAUAAGCACCGGCUAACUCUGUGCCAGCCGCCGCGGUAA